GCCGGUAUAGCUCAGUUGGUAGAGCAACUGAUUUGUAAUCAGUAGGUCGCGGGUUCGAUUCCUGCUGCCGGCA
Molecule: transfer RNA, 73 nt
Organism: Dyella thiooxydans
Lineage: Bacteria; Pseudomonadati; Pseudomonadota; Gammaproteobacteria; Lysobacterales; Rhodanobacteraceae
Rfam family: tRNA
About the family: Transfer RNA (tRNA) molecules are approximately 80 nucleotides in length. Their secondary structure includes four short double-helical elements and three loops (D, anti-codon, and T loops).
Source: Rfam